Thalassophryne amazonica is the source of this 1598-nucleotide long non-coding RNA. RefSeq lists it as uncharacterized. The record is from RefSeq and is a predicted model, not a curated record. The transcript has 2 exons. Lineage: Eukaryota; Metazoa; Chordata; Actinopteri; Batrachoidiformes; Batrachoididae.
UAAUUAUUUAGCCAAUUUAUCACCAGUGAUCCAAGAAAUUUGAAUAAUCAUAGGGCUUAUGGCUACGAGAAUCUAAGGUACACAUACUCCUGGUUAGGAAUCAUUGCCCGAGUGUGAAUUUGGCAACAUGCAUCAUUCACUGUGUUGUUGCUCUGUUUCCACUAAUGGUGAAAUUUUUGCAUACAAUUCAUAAGCAAUGUGUUUGUAAGUUGAAUAACACUGUUUCUUAUCGGUUAAAGAGGGCGCUAACAGACCGUCAGCCAGCGACAUAACAUAAAAUGAGUCAGGGACUGUAUAUGGCCGCUAGUGUUAGCUUCCUAGCUAAUACCACCUCUUUAUGCUUGUAGGCUGCAUAAGUAGGUCAUUAGCUUUAGCAGUCUGAGCAGAUUGAAAAUUUGCCUAUUAAUGUAAAGAUCAAUGAUGAUGAAAUUUUUGCAUACAAUUCAUAAGCGAUGUGUUUGAAAGUUGAAUAACACUGUUUUUCAUUUGUUAAAGAUGGCACUAACAGACUGUUAGCCAGCGAUAUAACAUAAAAUGAGUCAGGGACUGUGAAUGACCGCUGGUAUUAGCUUCCUAGCUAAUAUUGCUUCGUUAUGAUUGUAGGCUGCAUAAUUAGGUCAUUAGCUUUAGCAGUCUGAGCAGCUUGAAAACUUGCCUAUAAAUGUCAAGAUCAAUCACUUAAAAUGCUACAAGUUGAUAUUUAUUUGGAGAAAAGAAAGAAAAAGAAAAAAACUGGUUUUACAGAAUUCACAUUUUAAUUGAAUAUCACUUUCCAGCAGUGAAUACAGAUAUUUGUGUCAUAAUAAAUUAAUUGUAAGGCUUUUUCCAGAAAUACUCUUUUUAGAAGCACAACAAAGAGACGCGGCAGCCAAAUCUGUGACUGCAUCACUUCUCGCCUUUGCAUGAAUCACAAAUCAGGAAUAGCAAUUUAUCUCAGUGACACGAUUCAUCUGAACCUAACAUGAUCUCACAAGCAAGCUUUUUGAAAACAUUUCACACUUUGAUUCACUGCAUGUGGCCACCGUAGGCAGCAGAUAUUUAGAGCAUUGUGUCUCUCAUCUGUGCACGUACAAACUCUGUCCCUUUGUGCACAAUAACUCAGAUAAGAUGAUACCCAGGCGAGCUGUGCAAACAAAGCAUGUGCCUGAUCCCACUGCUGGUAAGAGCUUUACUGUCGUCACUCCCGCUUGUUGGUGUUCGGUUAAUGUUUGUUAUUUUUGAAGUGUUCUGACACUGUCAAGAGACCAGAAUGAUUGUACACUCACCUUAAACUUCCUUAUAGAAUUUGAGUGCUGGUUCAUUUUUGCAUUGAAUCCAAAUUAAUAUUUUAAAAAUGCAUCAGCAUUGCGGUUUGUGAGAUUUGUGACUGAGGCUUGUUAGCAAUUUGUGUGCACGGACAUGAGAAGUCACACAGACUGAACAGCUUUUCUGAACUUCUAAACCAUGUCAUUGACAAGUGGCAAACUUUGCAUAAGCAGUGCACCACUAAGAAGAGUAGCAUGCUAAAAUAAUGGAACCUGAACGAGAGACAAUGGCCCUUAUCGUGGUAAUCGAUGAUGCACAAUCUGUUACAAAACUGAAGUGUAUUUGGGGCAUGC